GGGUAAUUGCAUUUUUGUAACUAGCUUUUCAUUUAACAUCACAAUGCAGGUUUGUUUUCCACGUGGCUGUUUCUUCCUCUCAGUGAUUUUGAAUGGCUACAGAGAUCCCCAUCAAUGGAUGGGAACAUGACUUCUUAAAGCUUCUUAGAUGUCUAUGAAUAGAAUUUCAAAAUAUUGGAUAUUAUUAUUAAAACAUUUUGCCAUUACUAGGAAUUCUGCAUUUUUUCCUACAAGGCAUUUUAAAACACUUUUUGUAUGUUCACUUUCUAUGUGCUUUUCUUCUGGAAGUACCUUGUUUAUGUUUUCAAAUAGAUGCAUUCUUUUUAAAGAUGAACUCUUUUAUGAAAUGUUUUUAAUAUGGUUAUUUAUUUUUUGGUUUGAUUUUCCUGGAGUUGAUAUUACCUUUUAGAUAAUUUCAAAGCUUUAAUUAAAACACAGAAGUUCACAUUAGUACUCAGCCAAAUUCAAUACUCUUUUCUUCAGGUUUUCUGUGAUUAUUAUUAUAUAAUUCAAAUACAUAUAGUCUUAUGAGUAUAUAAAUACAAACAUCACAUUCAGAGUAGUAUUUUUAUCAUUACAGAUCUCUAAAUUUCUUAUGAGCUUUCUUAGAGAGUUUUCUAUGUGGACUCGUGGAAAAAAAAGUCUGUGACUUAGAAUCACCAUCUCUCCUCCUGGAAAGAUGAAGGGAACCACCUUACUGGUUAAUGAUAUUUGUACCCAGUUGUUUUUUAAUUCCCUCCAGGUGAACUAUCCCCCAGGAAGCCCCUGAUCUCCUAUGCAGAUGUGUCUCUGCUGGACACCGUUUGCCAGACACACUCAGACACACUGAGUGUCUCUUCUGUCCAGCUGAGACCCCGGGGACAUUUAGGGGUUUGCCACCCAGAGGCUAGGGAUGCCAACCUGCCUGCAAGAUUAACACAUUGGUGUGAUGAAGCCGUUUUAAACAACAGAUCUACAUAACCAGUGCACCAGUAAUUCUCUGAAACUCCCUGAAACAUACCACCCGUGCUCCUGUGGCUAUCCAUACCAAGCUCUCUGUACACGCAACCCAACCACUGCUUUCAUUUUGCAAGAAAAAGAAUAUUGCUGUGGAUGAAAUCAGACACAGGGAACAUAGUUUUCAGAUGAAAGAGCAUGGUGUUAUUUACUGAUCGAGAGUGUCAUUCUAGAAACAGGGCUACAUGUAUGUAUGCUUCCACGCAUUCAGGUUUAGGCUGCAGAUAAGCCACUGGCCUCUACGUGCAGUUGUGUUUGUGGUUAAACUGAGAAGAGCAAACAUAUCAUUAGCUCUUCAACUGUGUGAUUAUAUGGUCUUAGCAUGACUCAGGUGACAUAUGACAGCUUGUGUGAACACUCGAGAGUCCCAGAAAGUGAUGUGUAAAAGACACUUUUCUGUAAUUGGUCCCAGGGCAAAGGGCUGAUUGCUUGUAUAAAAGCCUCCAGAUCCGCAGUUGGUCUGACUUCUAAUUAGCGAAGCAAAAAAGAGCUGAACUUCAGAAAUUGUGAUGAGUCCGUGAUCUUUUUUCCUUUAAGGAAAUAAUCACUUUGCCCUUGAACUCCAAAAGGCCCUGAAAUCAACGGACUCUCCUCUUAAACUCCUUAACAAGCAUGGGGAUUAGAGGCAAGCAGUGUAGAAUGGUUCAUAUUAGAUAAAAAUGAUAAUGGACAAUAGAAAUUCACCUAUGAAUAAGCAAGGUCCUUUCACUGAGGUUUCUUCUCCCCACUUCUUUUUUUUUUU
Long non-coding RNA from Phyllostomus discolor (pale spear-nosed bat), 1738 nucleotides. RefSeq lists it as uncharacterized. NCBI's taxonomy places the organism in Eukaryota, Metazoa, Chordata, Mammalia, Chiroptera, Phyllostomidae. The record is from RefSeq and is a predicted model, not a curated record. The transcript has 2 exons.